RNAcentral lists this ribosomal RNA (164 nucleotides) under uncultured bacterium. RNAcentral's name for it is "partial 16S ribosomal RNA". It matches the Rfam family "Bacterial small subunit ribosomal RNA", at positions 355 to 511 of the family's 1533-position model. The record is from RNAcentral.
UAGGGAAUCUUCGGCAAUGGACGAAAGUCUGACCGAGCAACGCCGCGUGAGUGAAGAAGGUUUCGGAUCGUAAAACUCUAGUUGUUAGAGAAGAACAAGGAUGAGAGUAACUGUUCAUCCCUUGACGGUAUCUAACCAGAAAGCCACGGCUAACUACGUGCCAA